RNAcentral lists this long non-coding RNA (665 nucleotides) under Ananas comosus (pineapple). RNAcentral describes it as "long non-coding RNA (ACOM_LNC008356)". Lineage: Eukaryota; Viridiplantae; Streptophyta; Magnoliopsida; Poales; Bromeliaceae. The record is from RNAcentral.
UGUGUGUGUGUGUGUGUGUGUGUGUGUGCAUAUAAAUAGAGUGGGAGUGUCGGAGNUGUGUGUGUGUGGGGAGUUGUAUGUAGUGGAAAUGUUAAAUACGUGUGUGUGUAGUGGAAAUGUUAUAUUUAUAUUUAGGCUAAAUUACAUAAAAGUUUUUUGUCAAAAUCUAAUUUUUUAUUUUUUUUCAUGUCAUUUAAAAACCUACACUUUACUCUCUUGUAAAAUAAAAAAUAUUCACUUUGCCUCUUGCCGUUAGUAAUUCGUUUAUAAAAUAUUAUUAUAUAUUUUUUUAAGCCGAAAUUGUCCUCAUCCUUCUCUCCUGUAAACAUGAUGAGGAGCAAAAUGGUGAGGGACAAAAUGAUCAUUUUGUCAUCACAGUUCACAUCGUACUCCCUGUGAACAUUUUUUUAUUUUACAAGGGGGUAAAAUGUAGGUUUUUAAAUUACAGAGAGAAAAAGUAAAAAAUCAAAUUUUGACUGAAAAAUUUUCUGUAAUUUAACCUUAUAUUUAUAUAUGCAUGUAGGAGUGGGGACUGAGACUGUGAGCAUUAAAUAAGGGGACUUCAUGUGCAUUUCUAAAAUCUUAUUCCUAACGCCUCAAAAUCAAAAUCUAAUUUAAUUAUUAAAUAUAAUCUGCAAAAAUAUCUAAAUAAUAUAUCUCUUAAA